GGGGAUAACUACUGGAAACGGUAGCUAAUACCGCAUAACGUCGCAAGACCAAAGAGGGGGACCUUCGGGCCUCUUGCCAUCGGAUGUGCCCAGAUGGGAUUAGCUUGUUGGUGGGGUAACGGCUCACCAAGGCGACGAUCCCUAGCUGGUCUGAGAGGAUGACCAGCCACACUGGAACUGAGACACGGUCCAGACUCCUACGGGAGGCAGCAGUGGGGAAUAUUGCACAAUGGGCGCAAGCCUGAUGCAGCCAUGCCGCGUGUAUGAAGAAGGCCUUCGGGUUGUAAAGUACUUUCAGCGGGGAGGAAGGGAGUAAAGUUAAUACCUUUGCUCAUUGACGUUACCCGCAGAAGAAGCACCGGCUAACUCCGUGCCAGCAGCCGCGGUAAUACGGAGGGUGCAAGCGUUAAUCGGAAUUACUGGGCGUAAAGCGCACGCAGGCGGUUUGUUAAGUCAGAUGUGAAAUCCCCGGGCUCAACCUGGGAACUGCAUCUGAUACUGGCAAGCUUGAGUCUCGUAGAGGGGGGUAGAAUUCCAGGUGUAGCGGUGAAAUGCGUAGAGAUCUGGAGGAAUACCGGUGGCGAAGGCAGCCCCCUGGACGAAGACUGACGCUCAGGUGCGAAAGCGUGGGGAGCAAACAGGAUUAGAUACCCU
This 654-nucleotide ribosomal RNA is filed under the name uncultured bacterium. RNAcentral describes it as "bacterial SSU rRNA". It matches the Rfam family "Bacterial small subunit ribosomal RNA", at positions 139 to 788 of the family's 1533-position model. The record is from RNAcentral.